GACGAACGCUGGCGGCGUGCCUAAUACAUGCAAGUUGAGCGCUGAAGGUUGGUACUUGUACCAACUGGAUGAGCAGCGAACGGGUGAGUAACGCGUGGGUAAUCUGCCUUUGAGCGGGGGACAACAUUUGGAAACGAAUGCUAAUACCGCAUAAAAACUUUAAACACAAGUUUUAAGUUUGAAAGAUGCAAUUGCAUCACUCAAAGAUGAUCCCGCGUUGUAUUAGCUAGUUGGUGAGGUAAAGGCUCACCAAGGCGAUGAUACAUAGCCGACCUGAGAGGGGGGUCGGCCACAAUGGGACCGGGACACGGCCCAAACUCCUACGGGAGGCAGCAGGAGGGGAACCUCGGCAAUGGACGAAAGGCUGACCGAGCAACGCCGCGGGGGUGAAUGAGGUUUUCGGGUCGUAAAACUCUGUUGGUAGAGAAGAACGUUGGUGAGAGUGGAAAGCUCAUCAAGUGACGGUAACUACCCAGAAAGGGACGGCUAACUACGUG
This 497-nucleotide ribosomal RNA is filed under the name uncultured bacterium. Its description in RNAcentral is "partial 16S ribosomal RNA". It matches the Rfam family "Bacterial small subunit ribosomal RNA", at positions 28 to 507 of the family's 1533-position model. The record is from RNAcentral.